CAGUAGCCGCGGUAAUACGUAGGGUGCGAGCGUUAAUCGGAAUUACUGGGCGUAAAGCGUGCGCAGGCGGUUCGUUAAGACAGAUGUGAAAUCCCCGGGCUUAACCUGGGAACUGCAUUUGUGACUGGCGAGCUAGAGUAUGGCAGAGGGGGGUAGAAUUCCACGUGUAGCAGUGAAAUGCGUAGAGAUGUGGAGGAAUACCGAUGGCGAAGGCAGCCCCCUGGGCCAAUACUGACGCUCAUGCACGAAAGCGUGAGGAGCAAACAGGAUUAGAUACCCCGGUAGUCCCUGUCUCUUAUAC
RNAcentral lists this ribosomal RNA (301 nucleotides) under uncultured bacterium. RNAcentral describes it as "partial 16S ribosomal RNA". It matches the Rfam family "Bacterial small subunit ribosomal RNA", at positions 509 to 807 of the family's 1533-position model. The record is from RNAcentral.